GUGGACGGUCAUAGGGGCGUGGUUCCACCUGAUCCCAUUCCGAACUCAGAAGUUAAGCACGCCACCGUCUUGGAUGGUACUGUACUUGCGUACGGGAAGUCCAGGAAGCUGUCCCAC
This 117-nucleotide ribosomal RNA is filed under the name Candidatus Woesearchaeota archaeon. The record is from RNAcentral. Lineage: Archaea; Nanobdellati; Candidatus Woesearchaeota.